RNAcentral lists this ribosomal RNA (301 nucleotides) under uncultured bacterium. RNAcentral describes it as "partial 16S ribosomal RNA". It matches the Rfam family "Bacterial small subunit ribosomal RNA", at positions 509 to 807 of the family's 1533-position model. The record is from RNAcentral.
CAGCCGCCGCGGUAAUACGUAGGGUGCGAGCGUUAAUCGGAAUUACUGGGCGUAAAGCGUGCGCAGGCGGUUAUAUAAGACAGGUGUGAAAUCCCCGGGCUCAACCUGGGACCUGCAUUUGUGACUGUAUAGCUAGAGUACGGUAGAGGGGGAUGGAAUUCCGCGUGUAGCAGUGAAAUGCGUAGAUAUGCGGAGGAACACCGAUGGCGAAGGCAAUCCCCUGGACCUGUACUGACGCUCAUGCACGAAAGCGUGGGGAGCAAACAGGAUUAGAUACCCCUGUAGUCCCUGUCUCUUAUAC